AUUGAACGCUGGCGGCAGGCCUAACACAUGCAAGUCGAACGAGUUGCGGACGGGUGAGUAAUGUCUGGGAAACUGCCCGAUGGAGGGGGUUACCUACUGGAAACGUUAGCUAAUACCGCAUACCAUCGGAUGUGCCCAGAUGGGAUUAGCUAGUAGGUGGGUUAAAGGCUCACUUAGGCGACGAUCCCUAGCUGGUCUGAGAGGAUGACCAGACACACUGGAACUGAGACACGGUCCAGGCUCCAACGGGAGGCAGCAGUGGGGAAUAUUGCACAAGGGGCGCAAGCCUGAUGCAGCCAUGCCGCGUGUAUGAAGAAGGCCUUCGGGUUGUAAAGUACUUUCAGUGGGGAGGCGUUACCCGCAGAAGAAGCACCGGCAAACUCCGUGCCAGCAGCCGCGGUAAUAC
Molecule: ribosomal RNA, 406 nt
Filed under: uncultured bacterium
Lineage: Bacteria
Description: partial 16S ribosomal RNA
Rfam family: Bacterial small subunit ribosomal RNA
Source: RNAcentral